AGUUGAAAUAAAUGAAAAUUCUUAUGGUGAAUUUUUCUGGAUUUAGUUUUGUUUUUUAUCUGUAGAAUGGCUGUUUGGGAGUUCACUUGAAUGAGCUUAAUCAUACAUGCUCCAUUGGGCAAUUUUCUUUCUUCAAAUUUUGAGAGUCUAAGCUCCUAUGAUCAAGUGAGUCUGUCGAGUAAGAUUUAUUUCUAUCCAUAUUAAUGCAAUCAACACUUAAAUGGAGGAAAUUUGUUUUUGCUAUCAAAA
Molecule: unclassified non-coding RNA, 249 nt
Filed under: Hevea brasiliensis (rubber tree)
Lineage: Eukaryota; Viridiplantae; Streptophyta; Magnoliopsida; Malpighiales; Euphorbiaceae
Source: RNAcentral